Molecule: transfer RNA, 69 nt
Filed under: Rattus norvegicus (Norway rat)
Lineage: Eukaryota; Metazoa; Chordata; Mammalia; Rodentia; Muridae
Rfam family: tRNA
About the family: Transfer RNA (tRNA) molecules are approximately 80 nucleotides in length. Their secondary structure includes four short double-helical elements and three loops (D, anti-codon, and T loops).
Source: Rfam by way of RNAcentral
GGGGAUUUAGCUCAGUGGUAGAGUGCUUGCCUAGCAAGCGCAAGGCCCUGGGUUCGGUUCCCAGCUCCU